RNAcentral lists this ribosomal RNA (253 nucleotides) under uncultured bacterium. RNAcentral describes it as "partial 16S ribosomal RNA". It matches the Rfam family "Bacterial small subunit ribosomal RNA", at positions 524 to 776 of the family's 1533-position model. The record is from RNAcentral.
UACGUAGGGACCGAGCGUUGUCCGGAAUCAUUGGGCGUAAAGAGCGUGUAGGCGGUUUGUCGCGUCUGCUGUGAAAACUGGAGGCUCAACCUCCAGCCUGCAGUGGGUACGGGCAGACUAGAGUGCGGUAGGGGAGAUUGGAAUUCCUGGUGUAGCGGUGGAAUGCGCAGAUAUCAGGAGGAACACCAAUGGCGAAGGCAGAUCUCUGGGCCGUAACUGACGCUGAGGAGCGAAAGCAUGGGGAGCGAACAGG